Molecule: long non-coding RNA, 1550 nt
Organism: Parambassis ranga (Indian glassy fish)
Lineage: Eukaryota; Metazoa; Chordata; Actinopteri; Ambassidae
Source: Ensembl
GCGAUAGCGUCACCAUCACCUGACCGUCCAGAGACAGUUAUCGAUCAACACAGACAGGAGUGCAACUGUGCAAUGUAAAAAAGGAAACAACACCAAGGAAACAAAGUACCCUCAAAGUUUGCCAUCUGAGAUGGAUACUCGUCUCAGCAAAAGGGCACAUGGGGUGAUGAAGGCUGAGGAAGCUAAGGAAGUAGAGGAGGAGAUGAACAAGGAACAGACAGAAGAUGAGACAGAGGUCCCUAUUCGAAGAUAUAAGAAAAAGAAGCCAGUCAAAUAUUCCCCGAAAAAACAGAUGUCUCCAACAGGGGCAUUGGAGUUGGCCAAACUGAAAGAACAAAAUAAGAUGGAUCGGCAGAAGAUUGAACACCUUGAGGACCGCAUUAAGUACCUGGAGGAGGCCAACAGGGAUCUAAAAAAUGACAAGGACUUCUUACUUUCCCAAAUUAAGGGAGCCACCAACACACCUGCAUCUACUGGGAAAGGCUCUGGAAAGACUGCUCUGGAACCUGCUUCAUCUUCAACCUCGACAUCCCCCUGUCCUUCCUCAGACUCCAGCUUCUCAUCAUCCUCAGAAGAAGAGGAAAAGAAGAAAAAGAAAAAGAAGACCAAGAAGUCCAAAAAACACCCUGAUUCUCAUAGCCGGUUCAGGCAUUGAUCAUCUUUUUGAUCAAAUGCUUUUCAACUGUAAAGUUGACGAUUACUUAACUGCCCUCAUAUUUGUUAUAAAAGCAAUUACUCAGCAAUUACAGAGAGAUGUACAGCUUUUUAAUUCUCCGCAGGUUAUUAUGUGCUCUAAUCUGGUUUUGUUAGAUAUUUAACCUGUGAAACAAAUAAGAAAAAAUCUACUUACUGUACCAUUAGGUUCACAGUGCAAGGUGGUUAUGUUUUGUACAGCUUCAGAGGCAGGUAAGCGAGGACAUUACUUGUUGGGCAUCCUUCUUCCAUGCUGGUCAUGGCAACUAUUGCUAGCUACAGAGGCAGGUACGAAAGGAGCUAAAUCUAAUAGAACAAGCCUAGAAGGAGGAUGCACAUUAAACCAGCAGUAGGAUAAGUGGGAUUAUUUCUCAUUUGAUAGUAUUACAGUACCUUUAGGGUGCCCAAUCAGCAAUGCCAAUGCAUGUCUGAAUUAAGAUGCCUUUUUUGUUUGUUUUUGUGACCAGUGACCACAACGGAUGGAGUUAUCCGCCGCUACAAGAAUGUCCUGUCCAUAUUCAAUUAGCAUGGAUCCAUGAAAAAGGCCUUCGCCAAAAUUAACGUCGACCGCAACACAGCUGUGAUUGCUGAACUAGCGAUCACAUUUCCAGACACCUUCAAGGACCUGCUUCCAUGAGAUGAAGCUAAUGAGAAGAUGUCUGCAUUUGCAGAGCGUUGCAGGGGAGCUAUAACACAGGAGAUGGCUGAAUUUAUCACAGCAAAGAAAAAAAGUGGAAAACUCCUCCCAAUAGUGUAUAAAUACACUUAAGAGUGUUCAUUUAUGUUGAUGUUAAAUGACACUGUUUAUGUAACAACAGUUCCUUUUGUUCAAAUGUUUGUGUUCAAAUACAGCAAGG